GAGGCAAAGAGCAACACGUCCGGUCACAGGGCAGCUUAGUGGAGGGAGCAGGAUUUGAACCCAGGUGAAGCCCAUGCUUCUCGCACCACACUGCCUUCUAACAGGAUUGCCAACGUGGGGCACUCCGUCCGAGCAGGGCCCUGUCCUAAGCGUCAUCCACAUAUUCAUAGAACACACACAACCUCCUGGAUAAAGUCCAUCCUCUUUGGCAUCAAAACCCUCUGCAGCCCGGCCUCCGCUGACCUGCCCCACUGGCCUCGUCACCGCUCCUGCCUGGCAGCCACCAGAACAUCCGCAGCUGGACACGGGCCCGCUCCGCCCCCUUCCUGGGUCUUUGAUGGACUUUCUUGUCCAUCUGGAGCACCCCUCUGAGUCCUCUGUUCUGGGAGUGUCUCCUCACCCUCCACGUCCCCAGGCCCGAGGUCGGCAGUGCUCAAUACAUCUUGCCAAUCCAGCCACUAGGAUGAACGGUCCCCCGCCUGCAGGAAUGAGAAGCCUUUGGAUCUGGGCUGCUGUGCGGCCUGAGGCAAGCCCCUGAACCUCUCUGUGCUCAUUUCCUCUCCCUUAUGCCUGAGUUUUAAGAUCUGCCACUUGCUCGUAAACAUUUGACUGUCCCUUUCCUCCCCGUCCUCAGAGCCCAAACCUUCUCCCAAGUCUCGAGCACUUUAUAUUUUAUGUUUAUUUACAGCUUUCUUUUCAGUUUUCCCCUUUGAGUUUCCCGCAGUCUUUCUGUUGUUGAUUUAUUUGCGCUCAGAGGAGAGCUGGCUGGAUCACAGAGGCGCCGCUGGCAGAGCCUGGGAGCCCCGUGCGUGCCCAUGUGAGUUCUCUCAUCCGUAAAGGAUUCUGCCUCCUAGCAAGCGUGAUGGGUCAUGGGAACACACAGGCCGGUGGCGGCAGCCCGGACAAGGACUCCGAACCCCCUGGAAGCCCAGCUGGGGGGAUCCUGGACCGCCCUCCCCCUCUUCAGAGAAUCAUCAGGCAGGAUUUGGGGCAACCCACAUCCCUCUCUCGUGAUUCACUUUUCCCUGGGGGGCCUCCCCCAUGUCCCCCGGCCUCCCCAUAAACGCACAGCCUCUCCCAGAGGCAGGAGUCAUCCAGACGCACUGUGUGAAAUAUCGGGCUGGUGGAGGACACCCCCCGGCAGACCUGGCCUCCCCCGUUGCCUCAUUAUAGCAAGCUUUCCCACACACGGCCUCCCAUUCGGACACCCUGGGAAGCUGGGAAGCCAUCUGCUUAUAGUAACGUGACUUAUGACUUAUGGUUAUGAUUAUGAUUCCUUUUUUUUUUUUGCAAAACAUCUGCUUUAACGGGGAAAAUGCUAUCCGGAGGAGUGGUGGGCUGUAAAAAUGCAACAGCAGGAAAAACUGCCGCUAAUGGUCACUACAUGGAACAGAGCCUCAGAGAUCAGCAGGGCUGUCACGGAGGCGGCUCAGGAAGUGGCCUGUGACGUCCCUGCCAGGGCCUCAAAGAGACCCAGGCUCAGCCCCUGCUGGGGGAGGCAGCCCCGGGAGACCGGCCUCCUAGCAGAGGGCAGUCCCCUCCCCCAAGCCCUCCGUCACCUCUCAGCCCGCUCUGGUCCACGCUGUCAGUGGUGGGAGGGGGCAGGGACCCUAGACUCUGGGGCCAACAGCCCCUUGUCCGGCUGCUGGCUGAAGGAGGAUGCCAGCGCUUUCAAACCUCCCUCUUUCCUCCAAUUACGAGAUUAACAACCCAACACAGACGUUUUCACCCACUUUAACUCCUUCCAGCAGCCUGGGCUAACCAGAGCCCUGCCUGGGGAGCCCCUGGGCCGCCUGAGUUCAGGGACUUGCUGUGUGACCCCGGGAAAGUCCGUUCCCCUCGAGGUUUCCUUCUCUGUGAAAUGAGGGCUUAGGGCUUCUAGGUCAGCAGGGCCAGCGGUAUCAUGCCUGUUUUCUCUUCACUGGAAUGUAAGUUCCAAGAGAGCAGGACUCUGUUACCCACUGUGUGCCCAAGACCUAAGAAAGUCCCUGUCACCAGGAAGUCACCCCAAAGAUCUUUGAUGUAUGAAUUCUGCAGAGUAGCAGACGGAUGCCCUGAAGGUUCAGGGGCAGAGGUUUGAGAAGGAGCUCAGAGCCACUCUGAGCCCCCAGCUCAGGAGAAUGCUUUCCCACGGCUCCCGGCUCCCGCCCAUCCCCCCUCACCCCCCACCCCUCCUCCACCCCCACCCCCCUCCCCUUCUUUCUCAAAGGAGAGGCACGUUCCUGGGGCUGAUGCUCCUCUGGCCAGGUCAGCCAGCGGGGUUAAGAGUCCCCAAGACUCUUUCCUCCGCAUCCUCUCAGGAGAAGCAGGCCUGGCCCGUGGGUCUGGGGCUCCUGCCCCUGGAGCUGCUGCCCCGCUCCUGAGGGGCUCAGUCCUGCCUUUGGGAGUCGAUUCUCUAAGCCCACCUCUGGAGGGGCCUCGUGAAGCUCUGGCGGCUGCCGGAAGCGGAAAUGCAAAUGGGCAGUUUCUAAAAACCAAGCCUUUGGCCUGUGAUGGGCUGCUGGUCAGGAUGGGGAGACAGGCUAAGCAGGUCUCUGGCCAGAGGAGGUUAUGAGGUGUGGGGCCUUGACUGGACAGUCAGCGUCCUGCUGCCCCACCUGUGCCACCCGAGGGGGCGCAGUGACGUGACGGGGCUAAGGGAGAGAACAGGGGACCCAAUAGCAUUCUCCAGACCCAGCUGGUCUUCUCCUCCUCACUCCCCACCAACCUCCCUGCUCCCGGGCUUCCAGCAUCACUGGGCAGAGAGGCUCAGGCACUCCCUCCAGUUCAGGCCUCUCUCCUGAGCUCUGGGAUUAGAUACUGUCCCUUCUGGUCCUCCCUGCAAUGUGUCAGGAAUCAAACUCAACAUCUCUACCAAGACCUGGUCCUCCAUGGGCUCAAGACCGAGCUUUGGGGGUCCCCAGAGGCUCUUCCCUCCCCCUCAUGCCCUGCCUGCAAUCCGCUUGAAGCCCCAUGGAUUCUGUCUCUUAACCACCCUGAAUCUGCCCCCUCCUCUCCAUCACACGCCAUCUCCCGUCUCCUGGCUCCAUCACCCUCUCCUGGCUCCAUGAUCCCUUCCCUGGCUCCAUCACCCUCUCCUGGCUCCAUCCCCCCUUCCCUGGCUCCAUCACCCCUUCCCUGGCUCCAUCACCCUCUCCUGGCUCCAUCACCCCUUCCCUGGCUCCAUCAUCCCUUCCCUGGCUCCAUCACCCCUUCCCUGGCUCCAUCACCCCUUCCCUGGCUCCAUCACCCUCUCCUGGCUCCGUCACCCCUUCCCUGGCUCCAUCAUCCCUUUCCCUGGCUCCAUCACCCCUUCCCUGGCUCCAUCACCCUCUCCUGGCUCCGUCACCCCUUCCCUGGCUCCAUCAUCCCUUCCCUGGCUCCCUCACUCUCUCCCGGCAGGAAGGUGGGCUUGUUCUUCGGAGCUGUGGGGGGACUGGGCUGG
RNAcentral lists this long non-coding RNA (3424 nucleotides) under Equus caballus (horse). RNAcentral's name for it is "lncRNA (ENSECAG00000050895.1)". The record is from RNAcentral. Lineage: Eukaryota; Metazoa; Chordata; Mammalia; Perissodactyla; Equidae.